Molecule: unclassified non-coding RNA, 330 nt
Filed under: soil metagenome
Description: partial contains 5.8S ribosomal RNA, internal transcribed spacer 2, and large subunit ribosomal RNA
Rfam family: 5.8S ribosomal RNA (bases 1-120)
Source: RNAcentral
GAUGAAGAACGUAGCGAAAUGCGAUAAGUAAUGUGAAUUGCAGAAUUCAGUGAAUCAUCGAAUCUUUGAACGCACAUUGCGCCCCUUGGUAUUCCGAGGGGCAUGCCUGUUCGAGCGUCAUUUCAACCCUCAAGCACAGCUUGGUCUUGGGCUUCGCCGCUAACCCGGCGGGUCUUAAAAUCAGUGGCGGUGCCGUCGGGCCCUGAGCGCAGUAAUCUCUCUCGCUAUAGGGUCCCGGCGGAUGCUGGCCAGUAACCCCCAAUUUUCUAUGGUUGACCUCGGUUCAGGUAGGGAUACCCGCUGAACUUAAGCAUAUCAAUAAGCGGAGGA